RNAcentral lists this transfer RNA (72 nucleotides) under Acanthaster planci (crown-of-thorns starfish). RNAcentral's name for it is "tRNA-Cys". It matches the Rfam family "tRNA". Rfam says of the family: Transfer RNA (tRNA) molecules are approximately 80 nucleotides in length. Their secondary structure includes four short double-helical elements and three loops (D, anti-codon, and T loops). The record is from Rfam by way of RNAcentral. Lineage: Eukaryota; Metazoa; Echinodermata; Asteroidea; Valvatida; Acanthasteridae.
GGGGACAUAGCUCAAUGGCAGAGCAUUCGACUGCAGAUCGAGAGGUCCCCAGUUCAAAUCCGGGUGUCCCUU